GCUACAACUUUCAAGCAACGACGACAGGACUCCAUAUUGCACUUAAAUUUAUACCAAAGGCGAAGGAAUGUCGAACUGUGUCGUUCACGAUUCAAUGACGCAUAUGAAAUUACAGAUCGAUCAUAAAGUGAAGCUACAACUUUCAAGCAACGACGACAGGACUCCAUAUUGCACUUAAAUUUAUACCAAAGGCGAAGGAAUGUCGAACUGUGUCGUUCACGAUUCAAUGACGCAUAUGAAAUUACAGAUCGAUCAUAAAGUGAAGCUACAACUUUCAAGCAACGACGACAGGACUCCAUAUUGCACUUAAAUUUAUACCAAAGGCGAAGAUCGAUCAUAAAGUGAAGCUACAACUUUCAAGCAACGACGACAGGACUCCAUAUUGCACUUAAAUUUAUACCAAAGGCGAAGGAAUGUCGAACUGUGUCGUUCACGAUUCAAUGACGUAUAUGAAAUUACAGAUCGAUCAUAAAGUGAAGCUACAACUUUCAAGCAACGACGACAGGACUCCAUAUUGCACUUAAAUUUAUACCAAAGGCGAAGAUCGAUCAUAAAGUGAAGCUACAACUUUCAAGCAACGACGACAGGACUCCAUAUUGCA
This is a long non-coding RNA of Dendronephthya gigantea, 601 nucleotides long. RefSeq lists it as uncharacterized. NCBI's taxonomy places the organism in Eukaryota, Metazoa, Cnidaria, Anthozoa, Malacalcyonacea, Nephtheidae. The record is from RefSeq and is a predicted model, not a curated record. The transcript is spliced from 6 exons.